AGCCGCGUCAGAUGAUAUUGGUA
RNAcentral lists this non-coding RNA (23 nucleotides) under Arabidopsis thaliana (thale cress). Lineage: Eukaryota; Viridiplantae; Streptophyta; Magnoliopsida; Brassicales; Brassicaceae. The record is from RNAcentral.